This 387-nucleotide long non-coding RNA is filed under the name Nicotiana tabacum (common tobacco). Its description in RNAcentral is "long non-coding RNA (NTAB_LNC008996)". The record is from RNAcentral. Lineage: Eukaryota; Viridiplantae; Streptophyta; Magnoliopsida; Solanales; Solanaceae.
AACGGUGUUGGUACUGAUGUUUCUUCUCUUACUAAAAGGAAACCUGGUCGUCCUCCUAAGCUCAAGCCCGAGGCCCAACCUCAAGUCCAAGCUCAAGUCCAGUUUCAAGAUCAACUUCAAGCCCAGCUUCAAGCCCAACUUCAAGCCCAACUUCAAGCCCAACAGCAGCAAGCAGCCCAGUUUCAACCUCAAUUCCAAACCCAGCCUCAAUUCAUCCAACAGCAGCCCCAGUACUUACCUCAACAACAGUUCCAACCCGACCCGUUACUCCAACCUCAGCAACAGUUCCAGACCCAGCCACAGACGCAGGCCUAUGCUGCUACUGAAGCCCAAAAUUAUGCGGGCCUUGGUGCCGAAUCCGUGUUUGUUUCUCUGGGGCUAGCUGAU